This 489-nucleotide ribosomal RNA is filed under the name uncultured bacterium. RNAcentral describes it as "partial 16S ribosomal RNA". It matches the Rfam family "Bacterial small subunit ribosomal RNA", at positions 28 to 507 of the family's 1533-position model. The record is from RNAcentral.
GACGAACGCUGGCGGCGUGCUUAACACAUGCAAGUCGAACGGUGAAGGGAUCAGCUUGCUGGUUCUGGAUGAGUGGCGAACGGGUGAGUAACACGUGAGUAACCUGCCCCCUUCUUCUGGAUAACCGCAUGAAAGUGUGGCUAAUACGGGAUAUUCUGCGCCUGCUGCAUGGUGGGUGUGGGAAAGAUCUUGUUUCGGUGGGGGAUGGGCUCGCGGCCUAUCAGCUUGUUGGUGGGGUGAUGGCCUACCAAGGCGGUGACGGGUAGCCGGCCUGAGAGGGUGGACGGUCACACUGGGACUGAGACACGGCCCAGACUCCUACGGGAGGCAGCAGUGGGGAAUAUUGCACAAUGGGCGCAAGCCUGAUGCAGCGACGCCGCGUGAGGGAUGGAGGCCUUCGGGUUGUGAACCUCUUUCGCCAGUGAAGCAGGCCUGUCCCGUGUGGGUGGGUUGACGGUAGCUGGAGAAGAAGCGCCGGCUAACUACGUG